AUUGUCACAGUAGAAGAGAGAGACGCGCGGAUAGCUCAAAUUUGAAAUCUGCGUAAGCCGAGUUGUAAUUUGAAGAUGGCUACUUUGGUAAUGGCUCUUGUCUAUGUUCCUUGGAACAGGACGUCACAGAGGGUGAGAAUCCCGUGCGAUGAGAUGUCCAUUACCGUGUAAAGUGCUUUCGAAGAGUCGAGUUGUUUGGGAAUGCAGCUCUAAGUGGGUGGUAAAUUCCAUCUAAAGCUAAAUAUUGGCGAGAGACCGAUAGCGAACAAGUACAGUGAUGGAAAGAUGAAAAGAACUUUGAAAAAGAGAGUGAAAAAGUACGUGAAAUUG
RNAcentral lists this ribosomal RNA (330 nucleotides) under Fermentozyma sake. RNAcentral describes it as "eukaryotic LSU rRNA". It matches the Rfam family "Eukaryotic large subunit ribosomal RNA", at positions 74 to 407 of the family's 3401-position model. The record is from RNAcentral. Lineage: Eukaryota; Fungi; Ascomycota; Pichiomycetes; Serinales; Debaryomycetaceae.